UUCCUACUGCAACUGGCUGACUCCGUGAGAUUUGCUUUUCUUGGCAAGAAUUCUUCAAAGCUUUUGUUUGAUGAUUUGUAUUCUUUGUUCAUUAUUGCUUCCUAUUUGUGAUUUAUUUUUUAUAAUUUGAUUGCAAAAUUUGGAUUGCCUGCUAUUUCUUCUUUCUUAGAUGUCACUUUUUUCUGCAGUAGACUAUGCGUAUUUAUGGGGGCCAUUGUUGCGUGUUUGUUGAACUGCAUCUUCUAAUUUGUGAUUUUAGUUAUUUGUGUUUUCUAAGUUUGGUUUCAAGUUUUCUCCACAUGUGGGUUUUGGUUUUAUUGAUGACUUGUUCUAUUGUGUAGGCCAUCGUUGUUCGUUCUAUGCCCCUGCAUCUUUGAAUUUGUAAUUUUUGUUAAUAUUUAUAGUUUUCAUCGCAUGUGGUUUUUGGAUUAAUCGGUCUUCGCUCUCUGUGCCUUUCGUAGUUUUCACUACUCAUUGUUUUGUUUCAGUAAGGGAGUCCUGCAAUUGUAAUUGGAACAACUGUUCUAUUGUUUUGAUACUCAAUUUAUUGGCAUUAAAACAAUGGAAUACUUUCUUCUAUUUUUCAGGCAAUGGGUUUGGCUUGAUUUGGAAAUAGGGUUAAGUUUUGGGAACUUAUGGCAAGCAGAGGUGUUUUACUUUGUGAUUUACCAAGCUUAUGGCAAGCAGAGGUGCUUCACUUUGUGAUUUACCAAUUUAUCUGUUAUACUGUGUCCCUGUGAUUUCUGUUUUGGGAUUGUGUUAGGAAAAUAAUAUUCCUUCAUACCUUAGUGGGCUGUAGAAUUUACUUCAAUCGAAUUUGGGUGUCCUUAGUUUCAAUAUUUUGGAAUUUAAUUAUAAAAAAGCAUUUGUCCCAAGUUCCUAAAGACUGUAAUUUAUAUGUCUCUCUAGGGCACCGAAGAUCAAAAGAAGCUCCCUAUGGUUUUAUGCAAAUUGGUGGAAAUAUUAAAAGCCAGUUGAGUGGAUGGUUGUUACAGCAUAUUCUCUCUUUCUCUAAACCAUAUGUUUGAAAGUUUGGAUGUGUAAGCACAUUAGCAAGUGGAAUUGUUACCUUGGCCAUGUGAGUUAUAAUUAGAUUUUUUUCAAAUAAUAUAUUUUUUCAUUUUCUUCCUCUUUUUUUUUCCCAGGUAUUUGAAGGGGGUAGGGGUUCUGCGGGUCAUCUCUGAAACUCCUGUAGUCCUAUGAUCCCUAAGAGAAGAAAAAUAACUUAAAGACAAAGAAGUUUCUGAGGAUGGAAGAGGAGCAAAGACAGAGGCUCACUCUCUCUGAUCAACUCUCGGUUCUGCAAUCGCUGCACCUUCGAGACCUCCUCAGAGCUGCUGCCCAAGGAACCCAACAGCACCAACCAUGAAAUCCAAAACACCUCUUCCAGCCUCUUCUAGAAGUGGAACCCGAAGAUGAAUGGAUAAGAAAGGAAUUGAAUUCCAUUGAGUGAAUUCAAUGAAAAUUUUCCUUGGCCAUCAUCGAAAUCAGAUGGCAUCACCCAUACACGUUUCUUUUUACUUCAUGUCUUUGCAACUUUGGUGGCAAUCAUUUGGUUCAUUUGAUUUUCUGAUUAAUACGAUCUAUGUAAUCCAUUGUUUCCAAGAUUGUUGUAUCGGCAAGAGUCAUAGUGAUUAUUUGGAAUAAUAUUCAG
This 1654-nucleotide long non-coding RNA is filed under the name Amborella trichopoda. RNAcentral describes it as "long non-coding RNA (ATRI_LNC002750)". Lineage: Eukaryota; Viridiplantae; Streptophyta; Magnoliopsida; Amborellales; Amborellaceae. The record is from RNAcentral.